AACGAACGCUGGCGGCAUGCCUAACACAUGCAAGUCGAACGAGACCUGCGGGUCUAGUGGCGCACGGGUGCGUAACGCGUGGGAACCUGCCUAUAGGUUCGGAAUAAAGCAGAGGAAUUUGAGCUAAUACCGGAGGAUGUCUUCGGACCAAAGAGUUAUAGCCUGUGGAUGGGCCUGCGUUGGCUUGGCUUGUUGGGGGGCUAAGGGGCUACCACGACGAGGGGGGAUAACGGGUCCGAGAGGAUGAUCAGCCACACUGGGACUGAGAGACGGUCCAGACUCCUGGGGGAGGCAGCAGUCCGGAAUAUUGGCGGAUGGGCGAAGGGGUGAAUCAGGCAUACCGGGUGAGUGCAGAAGGCCUUCGGAUCGUAAAGCACUUUAAGUUGGGAGGGAGGGAAGUAAUUUUAUACCUUGCUGUUUUGACGUUACCAGGAGAAUAAGCCCCGGCUAACUUCGUG
Molecule: ribosomal RNA, 458 nt
Filed under: uncultured bacterium
Lineage: Bacteria
Description: partial 16S ribosomal RNA
Rfam family: Bacterial small subunit ribosomal RNA
Source: RNAcentral